CUAUACCCUAGGUGGUGAGUGCAAACCGUAAAUAAGAAUCCAUUUUGGAAUCAGACUCACUGUGUAAAUUAUUGUUCCAGCUGAGUUAAAGAAUAACAGUGUAAGAAAUGUAAAGUCAGGGUAAAUCCCAGCAACAGGUAUUCAAAAUGAAGAAGAAAAUGAAGAAACGUACGAUAGGUGAACGAUUUCUUACGUUACGGCGGCGCUUUAGUGCUUUAUUCUGUCCGGCUCUCUCACCUCGUCAAUCUGCACGCUCGGUAAUCUCAAAUAGAUUAGCAUCUCAAGCUUUCAUGCUAACACCGCCAUCGCACUCGUCGUCACAUACACCAGAUCGGUCCGGAUCUCUACUGCGUCAUUGCGAUGUUACGACAUUUCAGUAGGGUCAUAUUUAAUGUGUUUCAAAGUGGAGUUUUACUUUAACGCUCAGUUUAUUACACAUUCACAUUUACAUUCAUUCACUUCAGCAGACGCUUUUAUCCGGAGCUCGUAGUUGUCACUGUAACCAGAGAGUAGAAUGACACGUUACACGUCGUGCGUCGAUGUGAAAUCUUCCGAGAGAGAAUCAUAAUGCGCCGAUAAAACCUUCAUGAGUUUUUCUUUUCAUACUGUAGAGUUCAGUAAACCAUUUCUCCAGGAAAAACGCACCUUGUCUGUCUUCUUUCCUUCGAGCAUCUUCACCAGCUUGUGAAAUGUCUCUUGUCCUGUGGUAGAACCACACACACACACACACACACACACACACACACACACACACACACACACAGAAGUGAUAGCACAUUUACACCACAUAAAGGCACACACACUAAUCAGUACACACACACACACACACACACACACACACACACACACACAUGGUGUGAAGAUUAUAAAGCUUACCCGGGAUGACCCUGGGCUCUUCUCUAACAGUGAAGUGUUAAGGUAUGAAAAUGUUCCUGACCCGCUGUGUCCUGUCUACAAUAACACACACACACAGUUAUUAAUUCUCACAUGAUAAAACGCAACACUUCGGAACAGCCAAAUCACUGCGUAUUAAAAUAAAUCGAGUCUAACAUAUGGAGGCUCUUAUUACAGUCUGGUCUAAUAUCUCACACUCCUCACACAUCAAUAAAUAAAUAAAGAAAGAAAGAAGUCAUACACGUGUGGAGGAGAUGUGUGGGAAUGCUGCCCCCUACUGGUGAAAAACGCAGCAACUGCAAUAAAAGUGGACGAUAGAGCAUUACAAAAUUUUUAUUUUUUUUUAAAAUUGUGAUACAGAACUCGUAAGCGAUGCGUUUAGUGCAAAUAUAUUUUAACAUCCAGUCUUGUUACUGUAAGGAAAAAGGACAAAUUGUCAAGAAAUGAGUCAAACUGUAGGCCUAUUGUAGGCUAUUGUCGCAUAAUUAAUCCCAAAAUUUCAUCCCUAAUGUCUUCACAUUUUAAGUGUUAUUUAAGUGUAAAGAGUUAUCGCUGAACUUACCCUGAACUGUUUUCCUAUAACAGCAUGUUCCAAAGUAGACUAUUCCUCCAAAAUUUUUAUUUACUAAGUCCAAAAUCUGUAUUCACGCCUGUUUUGGGCGUGCCCGCGUUCAGCAUCGAAUUUAUUUGUGAUGCCAGACUCCACAGUAGUAGUAGUUAAUGGCUCAUAUGAAAGUUUUUAGCCUAGCCUACUGGGUUUAAAUGCUAUAACGUGAUUGUGGAAGUCGUAUACGGUGUUUUACUACAAAAUAAGCUUUAGUUGUGCUGCGUGUUUUAUCUCUGUACCGGUGUUAUUGUGGAGAUGUGGGACUUGUUCGCCCACGCGAGGUUCAC
Long non-coding RNA from Ictalurus punctatus (channel catfish), 1788 nucleotides. Lineage: Eukaryota; Metazoa; Chordata; Actinopteri; Siluriformes; Ictaluridae. The record is from Ensembl.